This 71-nucleotide transfer RNA is filed under the name Ictidomys tridecemlineatus (thirteen-lined ground squirrel). Its description in RNAcentral is "Spermophilus tridecemlineatus (thirteen-lined ground squirrel) tRNA". It matches the Rfam family "tRNA". Rfam says of the family: Transfer RNA (tRNA) molecules are approximately 80 nucleotides in length. Their secondary structure includes four short double-helical elements and three loops (D, anti-codon, and T loops). Lineage: Eukaryota; Metazoa; Chordata; Mammalia; Rodentia; Sciuridae. The record is from Rfam by way of RNAcentral.
GUGGUUGUGGCUCAGUUUUAGAGAGCUUGCCUAGCAUGCAUGAGGCACUGGGUUCGAUUCUCAGCACCACA